CACACCAAUAGAAUAUAGUUUCUUAUAAACAAAUCAACACGAAUGGUAGAAGCAUACAGAGCCGCAGAGGAUGAGACUCAAGGUUGUGUCGAGAAUAUUAGACGCAAUUCCAGGGGAAAAAACUUUUGGAGUUUACAGACUACUACCUUUUAUGUUCGUUGCAGGCGCAGUGUUAGAAUAUGCAAUGAUCCAUUGGACGGCGGGUUCGACAAAUUUUUAUAUAACAUACAGGAAAAAUCAAGCCAAAAAACAAGCCAUCUCAGAAUUGAUGAGUAGCAGAGAAAUUACAUUGGACUAUCUCAUGGAAAAACGGAGACCAGAGUGAGAGGUGCUGAUUAACUGUAUUUGGUCCAUAUUUGUUUUGUGGUGGUUCAAAAUAGGAAGGAACAAAUAUGCCGGCAGGUGUCUCUAUGACACAAUAUUUAACGGCUUUGGCAGCAUUCAUGUCGACUGCAAUGGCUGGUUCAACAAUUGUCUUCAAAUUUUACAAUCCUUUUGAAGGCUUUGAGGAACAAGUUGAAAAAGAAAAAGAGAAGAUCAGAGAAGAUUUCAACAAAUAUUGUGAGAGAAAAUUGGCAGAAAAGAAGAGUGAUAUAUCAUGACAUACAAACAAAAACUGUAUUUAUGUGACUGAUUAUAUUUAAGAUAUAAAUAUAAAAAUUAAAACAAUAUAUUCCUGUAUGGA
This is a long non-coding RNA of Pecten maximus, 685 nucleotides long. RefSeq lists it as uncharacterized. The record is from RefSeq and is a predicted model, not a curated record. The transcript has 3 exons. NCBI's taxonomy places the organism in Eukaryota, Metazoa, Mollusca, Bivalvia, Pectinida, Pectinidae.